UUGCUCUCUUUAGGAGCACAUAUACUAAAAUUGGAACAAUAGAGAGAAUAUUAGCAAGGCCCAUAUGCAAAGAUGAGAUUUAAAGUCAUGUGUGGAGAGAAAGAACUUA
This is a small nuclear RNA of Meriones unguiculatus (Mongolian gerbil), 109 nucleotides long. The record is from RefSeq and is a predicted model, not a curated record. NCBI's taxonomy places the organism in Eukaryota, Metazoa, Chordata, Mammalia, Rodentia, Muridae.